Molecule: non-coding RNA, 375 nt
Organism: Ceratotherium simum simum (southern white rhinoceros)
Lineage: Eukaryota; Metazoa; Chordata; Mammalia; Perissodactyla; Rhinocerotidae
Source: RefSeq, a predicted model, not a curated record
UCCCGCCCGACACUUCCGCACUCUAGGGCCGACCGGCGGAAAAAAAGGGCUCCAGAAAGUUCCACGAGCGCCGGGAACCCAGGCUGGCGCCCACCCCCACAAGGCCCUUCGGCAAGCCCCUCCCGGCCCGAGCGCCCCCGCGCCGUUGCCGGGCAACCGCGGGGCGGUGGGAGCGCCGGGGAGGGCGGGACUUCCGGCGGGUGACGCGACCGGGCUCGGCUACAAAAGACGACGGCUGCGGCGCGCCGGGGGAACUUUCCAGAACGCCCGGUGCGAGGCGGAGGAGCCGCGACCCGAGCUGCGCACAGCAACGCGCUCCCUCCCGCUCCCCCGCGCCGGCCUCGGCCCGCUCAUCGGCUGCAGCCAAAGGGGGAA